UAAAUAAUGCAAAGUGGUGUGAAUGAAGUG
RNAcentral lists this non-coding RNA (30 nucleotides) under Mus musculus (house mouse). The record is from RNAcentral. Lineage: Eukaryota; Metazoa; Chordata; Mammalia; Rodentia; Muridae.